Molecule: long non-coding RNA, 1528 nt
Filed under: Panax ginseng (ginseng)
Lineage: Eukaryota; Viridiplantae; Streptophyta; Magnoliopsida; Apiales; Araliaceae
Description: long non-coding RNA (PGIN_LNC007121)
Source: RNAcentral
CCGUUUCAUUCACUUUGAUCCGCCGCUGUCUGCUGCACUUCUCCUUCGCUCAAAUCCAUCUUUGUUCUUGUUGAAACUACAGGUGCGAUUUCUUUGAAUCUAAAAUUUCCUUUUUUGUGAUUUCUUUGACGCUGCUAGUGCGAUUUCUUUGUUUCUGAGUUUUGUGAUUUCGUUGGUCUUUUUUGUUGUGGCUGCUUGAGAUUUUAUUUUUAAUGUGGUAUAUUUUGCUCUUCCCCAUUAAAAAAGCUUUUUGUGCUGGUUUAUUUCUGUUAUUGGUUCUACUUCUUGAUUUUCUUGCCUUGGCUCUGUGAUUCCAAUACUCACUCGUUCUAUUCCAUUUUUAUUCUCUCUAACUGCCGAACUAUAUAUACUCCAAAUAUAAGACCAAAUCUUCUUGGGCUCUUUUUAAUCACCAAAUUUGGCAAAGAGGUAAAGCUUAUUAGAUUGAAGAAAGAAUCAAUCGGCAUUAAAAGAGGACAGCAGGGCUGUGCACCAAGUAAUUUACAUUAAAAAGCAAUUAAACAGGGUAAAUUAGCAAUUAAUUGAAGAAGUGAGUAAAUUUUUGUUUAUUGUUAUUAAUUAAAAAAGGGCCAUAAUUGAUAUCUGUUUUGGGUUACCUGCUGUCUUGGCUGGGUAAUGUGAAUUGGAAAUCUGGUUAGCUCAUAUUUGAACUUCCAUAAAAUUAGAAGUUCUAAAUCAUGCCCACAAGCUAAUUGCUAAAAUGUUCAAAUGAAAAUCUUUUCCAAAAAUCUUGAUGAGCUAUUAUUGAUGAGCUAAAUGAUAUUGUAGGAUUCUAAGAUCAUCUUCAAAAUUGUCCCAUGUGUCACAGUACUAUAAUGGAUGGGACUUUUUAGUGCUUUAGUUUAUAUGAUUACAAAAAGUUGGAGUGAAAUUUUUUAGCAUGUUGCCACGGUCUACAGCCUCAUCCGGCCACAAGUUUUCCUAUGUUUCUUUUCUCCUGAACCAAAUUUCAGCAUUGAAAUGAAACAUUGGGAAUAUUGAUUACUCCAUUACUUAGUGUUUUAGUUUAACUAAUUCAUGUUCAUAAGGAAACUCUAUGUUUGUGUUCUUUUAAGGUAACUCCUUGUUUCCCCCCCUUUUCAUGGCACUAUAUAUUUGAUAUUAGUGAAGUGAAUGAUCACAAAUGAAAAUUUGGUGAGAAAAAAAUCAUGUGAAGUUAUGAACCAUGUAGCAAAAUUGACUAGUUAAUAGUAAAAUACAGCCUAAUUAUAUCUUUUUUCCAUAGACUAGCCAAGUGAGUUGAUUAUGAUCCUCUUAGAUCUUGAUUAUUGUGACUCGAAAGCCUUGUUGUGUUUGCUCAAUAUGAUCGAGAUAACAUGUUUGACAAUGAAGCGGAGCAAAAUGAAGGAAACGAAGAAGAGGGACAAGAUGAACCACAAUGGGGUGAUCAAGGCGUAAAAUUUAUGAUUAAUCUACUUGAACAAAUUGCACUUCAACUCUUAACAACUGUUUGAAGUUAAUUUAAUUUGUAUGGUUGAAUUAUUAUGCUAUGUUGAUAUUUUUGGGA